This is a long non-coding RNA of Cottoperca gobio, 300 nucleotides long. RefSeq lists it as uncharacterized. The transcript has 3 exons. NCBI's taxonomy places the organism in Eukaryota, Metazoa, Chordata, Actinopteri, Perciformes, Bovichtidae. The record is from RefSeq and is a predicted model, not a curated record.
UUUAAAGCGGUAGAAUUGUCUGGUUUUGAGCCGUCUUUGUCAAAUUAAGAGAAAACAGUGUUGAUUGUUGAUGUUUUACAGAAGGACACCGCUCAGUGUUGCAGCGCACCAGCAGAGAGGACAGGGACACUUUACAGAAAGUGACUUACAACCUGAGCAGUGAUGGACCUGGAUUGUCUUUGUCUUCCAUCUUUCUGGAGCUUCUGCAGCGAGCUGUGGAAGAAGGGGGAGGAAAUCCAGAUCCUUACCCAGACAAACAAGAGCUGAAUUAAACUACUUGUGAAGACAAUUGUUUUCCCC